UUGCAGUUCAGAGUUUUAGCUGGGAAGCAGCUCCUUCCUCUCUUCCACCCUUGGUUAUCGAGGAGUUCUGACUGGCAGUAUCCUGAUCCUUGCUGCCCUUGCCUUCUCACAGAUUUUUAUUUGACCUUCUGUGCCUGGAAAUUGUUCUCUCACCCAGUGGAAUAUGUACUUCUGGGAUUUCUCAAUCUGGAAUAUAACCCUUUCUGUCACCCUGGCCUGAAAAAAAAAAAAGAUUGCGUGGUGGCAAACAGGCUCACCCUGCUCCACUAUAGGUUACAAGCAGUGAACCUGGACCACCUGACCAGAG
This is a long non-coding RNA of Gopherus evgoodei (Goodes thornscrub tortoise), 307 nucleotides long. RefSeq lists it as uncharacterized. The transcript is spliced from 3 exons. The record is from RefSeq and is a predicted model, not a curated record. NCBI's taxonomy places the organism in Eukaryota, Metazoa, Chordata, Testudines, Testudinidae.